RNAcentral lists this transfer RNA (74 nucleotides) under Haloarcula vallismortis. RNAcentral describes it as "tRNA_His_GTG". It matches the Rfam family "tRNA". Rfam says of the family: Transfer RNA (tRNA) molecules are approximately 80 nucleotides in length. RNAcentral also lists the same sequence under 1 other name. Lineage: Archaea; Methanobacteriati; Methanobacteriota; Halobacteria; Halobacteriales; Haloarculaceae. The record is from RNAcentral.
GUGGAGAUGGGGUAGUUCAGCUAACCUAAGACCUUGUGGCGGUCUUGCCGUGGGUGCAAAUCCCACUCUCCGCC